AGGAUUCCCCUAGUAACUGCGAGUGAAGCGGGAAGAGCUCAAAUUUAAAAUCUGGCGGUCUCCGGCCGUCCGAGUUGUAAUCUAGAGAAGUGCUACCCGCGCCGGACCGUGCAUAAGUCUCCUGGAACGGAGCGUCACAGAGGGUGAGAAUCCCGUCUUUGGCACGGACUCCCGGGGCUUUGUGGUGCGCUCUCGAAGAGUCGAGUUGUUUGGGAAUGCAGCUCAAAAAUGGGUGGUAAACUCCAUCUAAAGCUAAAUAUUGGCGAGAGACCGAUAGCGAACAAGUACCGUGAGGGAAAGAUGAAAAGCACUUUGGAAAGAGAGUUAAACAGUACGUGAAAUUGUUGAAAGGGAAACGCUUGAAGUCAGUCGCGUCGGCCGGGGAUCAACCUUGCACCUCUGCGGGGCGUACUUCCCAGUCGACGGGUCAGCAUCGGUUUCGACCGCCGGAGAAGGGUCAGGGGAAUGUGGCACCUCCGGGUGUGUNAUAGCCCCUGGUCGCAUGCGGCGGUCGGGACCGAGGAACUCAGCGCGCCGCAAGGCCGGGCCCUCGGGCCACGUGCGCGCUUAGGAUGCUGGCGUAAUGGCUUNNNNNNNNNNNNNNNNNNNNACGGACCUAGGAGUGUAACAUGCCUGCGAGUGUUCGGGUGGAAGACCCGUGCGCGCCAUGAAAGUGAUAGUGGAGACCUCUGUCGUGGAGGGCAUCGACGCCCGGACUUGAGCUUCUGCGAGGGAUCCGCGGUGGCGCAUGCAUGUUGGGACCCGAUAGAUGGUGAACUAAGCCUGAAUAGGGUGAAGCCAGAGGCAACUCUGGUGGAGGCUAGUAGCGAUUCAGACGUGCAAAUCGAUGCGUCGCAUUUGGGCAUAGGGGGGCAGGACUAAUCGAACCAUCUAGUCGCUGGUUCCUGCCGGAGUUUCCCUCAGGAUGGCAGGUACUGAGUAUCAGAUUUAUGUGGUGAAGCGAAUGAGUAGGGGCGGUGGGGGUGCAACAACCUUAACGUAUUCUCCCAGUUUAAAUAGGUGAGAACGAGCCGUCGCUUGACUGGACCGCUCGGC
Molecule: ribosomal RNA, 1056 nt
Filed under: Volvariella caesiotincta
Lineage: Eukaryota; Fungi; Basidiomycota; Agaricomycetes; Agaricales; Pluteaceae
Description: eukaryotic LSU rRNA
Rfam family: Eukaryotic large subunit ribosomal RNA
Source: RNAcentral